UGGGGAAUAUUGCACAAUGGGGGAAACCCUGAUGCAGCGCCGCCGCGUGAACGAAGAAGGUAUUCGUAUCGUAAAGUUCUGUCCUAUGGGAAGAUAAUGACAGUACCAUAGAAGAAAGCUCCGGCUAAAUACGUGCCAGCAGCCGCGGUAAUACGUAUGGAGCGAGCGUUGUCCGGAAUUAUUGGGCGUAAAGGGUACGCAGGCGGUUUAAUAAGUCGAAUGUUAAAGAUCGGGGCUCAACCCCGCAAAGCAUUGGAAACUGAUAAAAUUGAGUAGUGGAGAGGAAAGUGGAAUUCCUAGUGUAGUGGUGAAAUACGUAGAUAUUAGGAGGAAUACCAGUAGCGAAGGCGACUUUCUUGACACAAACUGACGCUGAGGUACGAAAGCGUGGGGAGCAAACAGG
RNAcentral lists this ribosomal RNA (403 nucleotides) under bacterium. RNAcentral describes it as "partial 16S ribosomal RNA". It matches the Rfam family "Bacterial small subunit ribosomal RNA", at positions 355 to 776 of the family's 1533-position model. The record is from RNAcentral.